GACGAACGCUGGCGGCGUGCUUAACACAUGCAAGUCGAACGGGAAGGCCCUGCUUUUGUGGGGUGCUCGAGUGGCGAACGGGUGAGUAACACGUGAGUAACCUGCCCUUGACUUUGGGAUAACUUCAGGAAACUGGGGCUAAUACCGGAUAGGAGCUCCUGCGGCAUGGUGGGGGUUGGAAAGUUUCGGCGGUUGGGGAUGGACUCGCGGCUUAUCAGCUUGUUGGUGGGGCAGUGGCUUACCAAGGCUUUGACGGGUAGCCGGCCUGAGAGGGUGACCGGCCACAUUGGGACUGAGAUACGGCCCAGACUCAUACGGGAGGCAGCAGUGGGGAAUAUUGCACACUGGGCGGAAGCCUGAUGCAGCAACGCCGCGUGCGGGAUGACGGCCUUCGGGUUGUAAACCGCUUUCGCCUGUGACGAAGCGUGAGUGACGGUAAUGGGUAAAGAAGCACCGGCUAACUACGUG
Molecule: ribosomal RNA, 468 nt
Filed under: uncultured bacterium
Lineage: Bacteria
Description: partial 16S ribosomal RNA
Rfam family: Bacterial small subunit ribosomal RNA
Source: RNAcentral